RNAcentral lists this ribosomal RNA (522 nucleotides) under Enterococcus faecium. RNAcentral's name for it is "partial 23S ribosomal RNA". It matches the Rfam family "Bacterial large subunit ribosomal RNA", at positions 1122 to 1642 of the family's 2925-position model. The record is from RNAcentral. Lineage: Bacteria; Bacillati; Bacillota; Bacilli; Lactobacillales; Enterococcaceae.
UUUAAAGAGUGCGUAAUAGCUCACUAGUCGAGUGACCCUGCGCCGAAAAUGUACCGGGGCUAAACAUAUUACCGAAGCUGUGGAGUACACCUUUAGGUGUAUUGGUAGGAGAGCGUUCUAAGGGCGUCGAAGGCAGAUCGUGAGGACUGCUGGAGCGCUUAGAAGUGAGAAUGCCGGUAUGAGUAGCGAAAGACAGGUGAGAAUCCUGUCCACCGAAUGACUAAGGUUUCCUGGGGAAGGCUCGUCCGCCCAGGGUUAGUCGGGACCUAAGCCGAGGCCGACAGGCGUAGGCGAUGGAUAACAGGUUGAUAUUCCUGUACCCGUUGUUUUUGUUUGAGCAAUGGAGGGACGCAGGAGGCUAAGGAAUGCAGACGAUCGGAAAUGUCUGUCCAAGCAGUAAGUCUGAAGAGGAGUCAAAUGCUUCUUUUCUUAAGGACAAGCUGUGAUGGGGAGGGAAAUAAUAGUACCGAAGUUCCUGAUGUCACACUGCCGAGAAAAGCUUCUAGUGAGAAAACAGCGGCC